Molecule: unclassified non-coding RNA, 262 nt
Filed under: Apiotrichum dulcitum
Lineage: Eukaryota; Fungi; Basidiomycota; Tremellomycetes; Trichosporonales; Trichosporonaceae
Description: sequence contains 5.8S rRNA gene
Rfam family: 5.8S ribosomal RNA (bases 1-53)
Source: RNAcentral
GAACGCAACUUGCGCUCUCUGGUAUUCCGGAGAGCAUGCCUGUUUGAGUGUCAUGAAAUCUCAACCAUUAGGGUUUCUUAAUGGCUUGGAUUUGGAGGUUGCCAUUCUGAAUGGCUCCUCUCAAAAGAGUUAGCGAGUUUAACUAUUGCUAUCUGGCGUAAUAAGUUUCGCUGGAAUGGUAUUGUGAAGCGCGCUUCUAAUCGUCUUCGGACAAUUACUUUGACUCUGGCCUCAAAUCAGGUAGGACUACCCGCUGAACUUA